This is a long non-coding RNA of Cannabis sativa, 465 nucleotides long. RefSeq lists it as uncharacterized. The transcript is spliced from 2 exons. NCBI's taxonomy places the organism in Eukaryota, Viridiplantae, Streptophyta, Magnoliopsida, Rosales, Cannabaceae. The record is from RefSeq and is a predicted model, not a curated record.
UAAUGGGUGAGUAUGAUCUCUGAUAUAUUUUUUUUUUGAAUAUUUACUUGAGAAAUAUUUAAUUAUAUAUUUAAAAAUGGGUCUCUCUUUCUCUCUUUUUAGUUAUUUUCUCUCUGUGGAAAUGCUAGAGCACUGCGACAAAGAAAAUCAAAAGGAAACCAUUAUUUUUGGGAGUAACAAUUUUUACUUAUCCUCAUACGCCAACAAUUUCGGAAUCAAUUUUAAGAUAGACCGCUUAGGUGAUCUUCGCAUGGCACGGUAGAUGAAGAGCUUCACCAAAUUGACCUUUAUUGUUUUGAAGUGAUGAUGAACAACAUUAAUGAUUAGUUUAUGCAUUUUGUAAACUUAGUUAAUGUAAUUAUUUAGUUGGAUAGUAUGAGUAUUAGUUAGUUUGUUUAAUGGAUAUUGUAAUUAUAUAUUAAUUUUAAAUUUGAUUUAUAUUUAAAUUAGAUAAUUGGUUUUUAA